Felis catus (domestic cat) is the source of this 866-nucleotide long non-coding RNA. RefSeq lists it as uncharacterized. The record is from RefSeq and is a predicted model, not a curated record. NCBI's taxonomy places the organism in Eukaryota, Metazoa, Chordata, Mammalia, Carnivora, Felidae. The transcript is spliced from 2 exons.
UGAGAAGUAUGAGAGGGUCAGUGGAUGGAAAAUUACAUCAAGGAUAAGGAGAUCCUGGCUAAACUGACUUAGCAGGGUUCUUGCUGAAAGUGGCUGGUGGUCCAAGGAUGAGGCCUAUUUGAAAAGAAACCUCAGAGGCACCGUCUGAAGUUUGGUCGGGGAGAGUCUUUGUCAAUAUCUAAAUAAGAAUGAACACGUGUGAAAGAUGUUAUUUAACUCAGGAGGGAACUGGCAGAUGGUACAGCUAGUUUAAAAGAAAAUCUAAAGAACAGACAUUUACAGAUCAAGAGUACAGAAUUGAAUAUGAAAAUGGAGGCGAAAACUGUUUGCUUGUUUGUUUUGUGUGAUGUGGGGAAUAGGGGGUUAAUUGAACCUGAUAUUGGGACAAAAUUUGCACGUCGGAUCAGUUACCUACCGAGUUGUAAAAUAGUUCCCAUGGAAACAGAAUCUCGUAAGGCAGCAGCAGGAUCGUCACUUCUGGGAAGUGUUCCCCGAGUCUCUACGUGAGAAUGGGUUGCAAUUUCUGGGCAAUCGUGUUUAUCACACUAUAUUGUUUAUAUCCUUCCCUUCCUCCCAUACACGCUCAUGAACUUUUUGAGGCAGACAUCGUGACUUAUUCCAAGUUUCCUGGCUCUGAACAGCAGCUUCUUAGGAACAUAACAUGCUAAGAGGGUAGUGGAAGCCGCAAGAUAAACAUAUUGGGUCGCGGGACACCCUGGGGAUACAAAAAUGCGCCUGAGCAGUCGCAACGAGAUACCCUGAGCAAGAAACAAUUGUGAGACUAAGUGGCACUAAGUGGCAGGGGCACCACGGACACGCCGGGAAGGGGCUGGCCCGCCGUAACAGGUCUUGGGGCGCGCCAGAAA